RNAcentral lists this ribosomal RNA (600 nucleotides) under uncultured Leptothrix sp. RNAcentral's name for it is "bacterial SSU rRNA". It matches the Rfam family "Bacterial small subunit ribosomal RNA", at positions 928 to 1532 of the family's 1533-position model. The record is from RNAcentral. Lineage: Bacteria; Pseudomonadati; Pseudomonadota; Betaproteobacteria; Burkholderiales; Sphaerotilaceae.
AGCGGUGGAUGAUGUGGUUNAAUUCGAUGCAACGCGAAAAACCUUACCUACCCUUGACAUGCCUGGAAUCCUGCAGAGAUGUGGGAGUGCUCGAAAGAGAACCAGGACACAGGUGCUGCAUGGCCGUCGUCAGCUCGUGUCGUGAGAUGUUGGGUUAAGUCCCGCAACGAGCGCAACCCUUGUCAUUAGUUGCUACGAAAGGGCACUCUAAUGAGACUGCCGGUGACAAACCGGAGGAAGGUGGGGAUGACGUCAGGUCCUCAUGGCCCUUAUGNGUAGGGCUACACACGUCAUACAAUGGCCGGUACAGAGGGCUGCCAACCCGCGAGGGGGAGCUAAUCCCAGAAAACCGGUCGUAGUCCGGAUCGCAGUNNGCAACUCGACUGCGUGAAGUCGGAAUCGCUAGUAAUCGCGGAUCAGCUUGCCGCGGUGAAUACGUUCCCGGGUCUUGUACACACCGCCCGUCACACCAUGGGAGCGGGUUCUGCCAGAAGUAGUUAGCCUAACCGCAAGGAGGGCGAUUACCACGGCAGGGUUCGUGACUGGGGUGAAGUCGUAACAAGGUAGCCGUAUCGGAAGGUGCGGCUGGAUCACCUCCUU